RNAcentral lists this ribosomal RNA (253 nucleotides) under uncultured bacterium. Its description in RNAcentral is "partial 16S ribosomal RNA". It matches the Rfam family "Bacterial small subunit ribosomal RNA", at positions 524 to 776 of the family's 1533-position model. The record is from RNAcentral.
UACGGAGGGUGCGAGCGUUGUCCGGAAUCACUGGGCGUAAAGGGCGCGUAGGCGGCGAGGAUAGUCAACGGUGAAAGCUUGGGGCUCAACCCCGAGUCGGCCGUCGAUACUUCCUUGCUUGAGCACUGUAGAGGCAGAUGGAAUUCCGGGUGUAGCGGUGGAAUGCGUAGAGAUCCGGAAGAACACCGGUGGCGAAGGCGGCCUGCUGGGCAGUGGCUGACGCUGAGGCGCGACAGCGUGGGGAGCAAACAGG